Long non-coding RNA from Heterocephalus glaber (naked mole-rat), 330 nucleotides. NCBI's taxonomy places the organism in Eukaryota, Metazoa, Chordata, Mammalia, Rodentia, Bathyergidae. The record is from Ensembl.
GCGGAGCUCCGCCUCGGAAGCCGGCGUCCAGAACCGGGGGGCAAGGCCCAGGGCGCAGUGGUAGGACAGCAGUUACUUCGCUCAGGUAUUUCAUCAUAGAAAUGUGAAGCUGACUGAUACACCCUUCCACCGAUGCUUUGAGAUCCUCACAUUCCAGACUCCCUUUCAGUUUGUGCCCGUGUGAUGCAAUUCUUACCAAUCAAAUGUAAAGGAUUUCUCAAGCUGGGAAUGGGGUUGGAAGUGCCAGAAAAGGUUGCAAUUUGCUGAGUUGUUGAAUGUAAACCACAUUAAUUCUUAUCUCUCUCUAGUGUACCUUCCUGAAAGAAAGGC